Molecule: ribosomal RNA, 467 nt
Filed under: uncultured bacterium
Lineage: Bacteria
Description: partial 16S ribosomal RNA
Rfam family: Bacterial small subunit ribosomal RNA
Source: RNAcentral
GACGAACGCUGGCGGCGUGCUUAACACAUGCAAGUCGAACGGAAAGGCCUCUUUCGGGGGGUACUCGAGUGGCGAACGGGUGAGUAACACGUGAGUAACCUGCCCUUGACUUUGGGAUAACUUCAGGAAACUGGGGCUAAUACCGGAUAGGAGCUCCUGCUGCAUGGUGGGGGUUGGAAAGUUUCGGCGGUUGGGGAUGGACUCGCGGCUUAUCAGCUUGUUGGUGGGGUAGUGGCUUACCAAGGCUUUGACGGGUAGCCGGCCUGAGAGGGUGACCGGCCACAUUGGGACUGAGAUACGGCCCAGACUCCUACGGGAGGCAGCAGUGGGGAAUAUUGCACAAUGGGAGGAAGCCUGAUGCAGCAACGCCGUGUGCGGGAUGACGGCCUUCGGGUUGUAAACCGCUUUCGCUCAUGACGAAGCUUUGUGUGACGGUAGUGGGUAAAGAAGCACCGGCUAACUACGUG